GAUGAACGCUGGCGGCGUGCCUAAUACAUGCAAGUCGAGCGAACGGACGAGAAGAUUGUUUUUCUGAUGUUGGCGGCGGGCGGGCGGGUAACACAUGCAUAACAUUCCUCUUUUUCUGGGGUGACUUCGGGAAGACAGAUAUACUAAUACCUCAUACUUUCUACCGGUUGGAGCAAGGGUGCAUGACGCCCUUGCUGUUUCUUAUAGACGGAUCCGGGUUGGAUUAGCUAGUUGGUAAGGUAACGGCACACCAAGGCGACGAUGCGUAGCCGGUCUGAGAGGAUGAUCAGCCACACUGGAACUGAGACACGGUCCAGACUCCUACGGGAGGCAGCAGUGGGGAAUAUUGGGCAAUGGGCGAAAGCCUGAUCCAGCCACACCGCGUGGGUGAAGAAGGCCUUCGGGUUGUAAAGCCCUUUUGUUGGGGAAGAAAAGAAGUAGGUUAAUACCCCGAUGUCCUGACGGUACCCAAAGAAAAAGCACCGGCUAACUUCGUG
RNAcentral lists this ribosomal RNA (497 nucleotides) under uncultured bacterium. RNAcentral describes it as "partial 16S ribosomal RNA". It matches the Rfam family "Bacterial small subunit ribosomal RNA", at positions 28 to 507 of the family's 1533-position model. The record is from RNAcentral.